RNAcentral lists this non-coding RNA (96 nucleotides) under Planktothricoides sp. TH3. RNAcentral describes it as "Planktothricoides sp. TPP sequence". It matches the Rfam family "TPP riboswitch aptamer (THI element)". Rfam says of the family: Vitamin B(1) in its active form thiamin pyrophosphate (TPP) is an essential coenzyme that is synthesised by coupling of pyrimidine and thiazole moieties in bacteria. Lineage: Bacteria; Bacillati; Cyanobacteriota; Cyanophyceae; Oscillatoriales; Oscillatoriaceae. RNAcentral also lists the same sequence under 1 other name. The record is from RNAcentral.
AAAUUAAGCUAGGGGUGCCUCGUCGUUGAGGCUGAGAUAGUCCCUUAGAACCUGAGACUGGGUAAUACCAGCGUAGGGAAGCUAUUUAUCGAGGAA